AUUGAACGCUGGCGGCAUGCUUUACACAUGCAAGUCGAACGGUAACAGGGUGCUUGCACCGCUGACGAGUGGCGAACGGGUGAGUAAUGCGUCGGAACGUGCCGAGUAGUGGGGGAUAACGCAACGAAAGUUGUGCUAAUACAGCAUACGUACUGAGGUAGAAAGUGGGGGACCGUCGGUCGUACCGCUAUCCGAGCGGCCGACGUCUGAUUAGCUAGUAGGUGAGGUAAAGGCUCACCUAGGCGACGAUCAGUAGCGGGUCUGAGAGGAUGAUCCGCCACACUGGGACUGAGACACGGCCCAGACUCCUACGGGAGGCAGCAGUGGGGAAUUUUGGACAAUGGGCGAAAGCCUGAUCCAGCCAUGCCGCGUGUCUGAAGAAGGCCUUCGGGUUGUAAAGGACUUUUGUCAGGGAGGAAAUCCCUAGUGCUAAUAACACUGGGGGAUGACAGUACCUGAAGAAUAAGCACCGGCUAACUACGUGCCAGCAGCCGCCGUAA
This 500-nucleotide ribosomal RNA is filed under the name uncultured bacterium. RNAcentral's name for it is "partial 16S ribosomal RNA". It matches the Rfam family "Bacterial small subunit ribosomal RNA", at positions 30 to 523 of the family's 1533-position model. The record is from RNAcentral.